GCUGGGCAUGGUAGCACAUGCCUGUAAUCCCAGCUACUCUGGAGGCUGGGGCAGGAGAAUCGCUUGAAUCCGGGAGGCGGAGGUUGCAGUGAGCCGAGUUUGCACCACUGCACCUCCAGCCUGGGUAACAGGGCGAGACUCUGUCUCAA
Unclassified non-coding RNA from Macaca fascicularis (crab-eating macaque), 149 nucleotides. It matches the Rfam family "Metazoan signal recognition particle RNA". Rfam says of the family: The signal recognition particle (SRP) is a universally conserved ribonucleoprotein. It is involved in the co-translational targeting of proteins to membranes. The eukaryotic SRP consists of a 300-nucleotide 7S RNA and six proteins: SRPs 72, 68, 54, 19, 14, and 9. The record is from Ensembl. NCBI's taxonomy places the organism in Eukaryota, Metazoa, Chordata, Mammalia, Primates, Cercopithecidae.